GGGGAUAUAGCUCCAUGGUAGAGCACAUGCUUUUAAAGUAUUAAGCUUAAAUAUAAAAGCAGUAUUGUCAAUUUUAUAUUUUCA
Molecule: transfer RNA, 84 nt
Filed under: Erinaceus europaeus (western European hedgehog)
Lineage: Eukaryota; Metazoa; Chordata; Mammalia; Eulipotyphla; Erinaceidae
Rfam family: tRNA
About the family: Transfer RNA (tRNA) molecules are approximately 80 nucleotides in length. Their secondary structure includes four short double-helical elements and three loops (D, anti-codon, and T loops).
Source: Rfam by way of RNAcentral